UGGGGAAUUUUGGACAAUGGGCGCAAGCCUGAUCCAGCCAUGCCGCGUGCGGGAAGAAGGCCUUCGGGUUGUAAACCGCUUUUGUCAGGGAAGAAAUCUUCUGAGUUAAUACCUCGGGAGGAUGACGGUACCUGAAGAAUAAGCACCGGCUAACUACGUGCCAGCAGCCGCGGUAAUACGUAGGGUGCAAGCGUUAAUCGGAAUUACUGGGCGUAAAGCGUGCGCAGGCGGUUUUGUAAGACAGAGGUGAAAUCCACGGGCUCAACCUGGGAACUGCCUUUGUGACUGCAAGGCUUGAGUGCGGCAGAGGGGGAUGGAAUUCCGCGUGUAGCAGUGAAAUGCGUAGAUAUGCGGAGGAACACCGAUGGCGAAGGCAAUCCCCUGGGCCUGCACUGACGCUCAUGCACGAAAGCGUGGGGAGCAAAACAGGAUUAGAUACCCUGGUAGUCCACGCCCUAAAACGAUGUCAACUGGUUGUUGGGAAGGUUCCUUCUCAGUAACGUAGCUAACGCGUGAAGUUGACCGCCUGGGGAGUACGGCCGCAAGGUUGAAACUUAAAUGAAUUGACGGGGU
Molecule: ribosomal RNA, 573 nt
Filed under: uncultured bacterium
Lineage: Bacteria
Description: partial 16S ribosomal RNA
Rfam family: Bacterial small subunit ribosomal RNA
Source: RNAcentral